RNAcentral lists this small RNA (155 nucleotides) under Heyndrickxia coagulans. RNAcentral's name for it is "ydaO/yuaA leader". It matches the Rfam family "c-di-AMP riboswitch aptamer (ydaO/yuaA leader)". Rfam says of the family: This family represents a conserved RNA structure found upstream of the ydaO and yuaA genes in Bacillus subtilis and related genes in other bacteria. The record is from RNAcentral. Lineage: Bacteria; Bacillati; Bacillota; Bacilli; Caryophanales; Bacillaceae.
AUAGUCGCUGAAUCCGAAUAGGAGCGGGGGAACCAAUCGUGAUCUUGUUGAUCACAUGGGGUGAAUCUUGUUCAGAACUUGUGAGUGUUCUGAAUGAGUAGGGUGACUCUCAUCACCCGAACCCGUCAGCUAACCUCGUAAGCGCCGUGAGAGGA